RNAcentral lists this small RNA (1258 nucleotides) under Rattus norvegicus (Norway rat). RNAcentral describes it as "uncharacterized LOC103693088". The record is from RNAcentral. Lineage: Eukaryota; Metazoa; Chordata; Mammalia; Rodentia; Muridae.
CACAAGGCCCCAGACAUUCUAGUGCCCUUCUUACCUCAGAAUACUGAACUUCAUAACACCUCUUACGUCUGCUUUGCCACAGCCAGAGAUCUGCUCAGGGUUCUAACGAUCAGGAUAUGGGUGACUUCGGUACCUACCACCAUGAUUUCCAAAUAUUUCUUCUGUUUCAGGGAAAAGCAGGGACAAGCACGGGCCAUGAUGAAUGAAAUUGAGGUAGGCAUCCUGACUUGAGCAUGUGCUACCGGGAUGUGAGUGCUCAACUCUUCAGGGAGAGGGACUUGAGUAUCUGUCUGGACUGCAAGGUAGGAGUGCCAUGGAUGUUGAAGAAAACUAUGCCCUUGACUUGGCGUUUCGUGUCAUCUUGACAUCUGUCAGGACCAGCUCUCAGGAACCCCACCAUCGUGUUCACAGACUAAAUGCUGUGAAAUGCAAGAUAAACUGUGCUUCAUGAUUGAAAUUUUCAUUUAGAAAAGAAACCCCAACCAACCUUGCCCUGUUCCACAUUAUUUACUAUGACAUCUUGGCGCCUUUCCCAGAGCCCUGCAUCUUUCACAGCCAGGCUGUCCCGCCCCAGGGUCUCCAUGAGGCACAGCACAAGAGACAAAUGGGGCCAGCUCUGCUUCAGGUACUAGGGACUGGCGUCAGCAAGCUCGGACAGAUAGCUAGCCCUGUGAGGAGGGGCUGCCUCAACUAGUAAAGCAAAGAGUGAAUCAACUACUAAGGUCAUAAAAGAGUAGUCACAGCACCAUGGAACUGCCUAGAAGAUUCUAGAAGGUUCUGGAACUGCGAUAUUCCAAAUAGGUGCCGUGGAAAUUUAGGGGAGGCUGGAAAAAGAAAAGGAAGGAUCCUACUACAACUCUAGAUGGGAAUGCAAGAAUUGUGGACCUCUUCACAGGGGAGCCACCUAUCGGACUACGAGGCUUUUUCACCCUGGCUGCUACAAGCACCAACUCUUCCAGACCUGCUCAAGCUCCGGGGGUUGCUCCUUGUAACUUGCAGACACAUCGGAGGAGAGGCUAAAAUCCUGUCGGCAUCUUUUUAGGCUCAGGCAGGUUCCUGCCAUGCUCCUCAGCAGAAGCCAUUGCUCCCAUUGACACAGAAGGUGAAACUGAGGUUCACAGAAGUGGUACAGGUCUGCACAGCCACCCAACAUCAGAGCCAGAGACCACCGGUGGAGUGAGUGUCAGCAGCAGGGGCUCUCCAUGGGAGGCUGCGGCUUACAGAGUGUUAGAGGAAAGACAAGGUUGCUUCCCACUGC